This 76-nucleotide non-coding RNA is filed under the name unclassified sequences. Its description in RNAcentral is "RAGATH-26 RNA". It matches the Rfam family "RAGATH-26 RNA". Rfam says of the family: Environmental. The record is from Rfam by way of RNAcentral.
CCUAUUACUGCGACUGGAAAUGUAGAUUGUGAACGCAUCGGUUCGUACAAAGUCAAACUUUGCGGUUAUAUACGGU